AGGACUACUGGGGUUUCUAAUCCUGUUUGCUCCCCACGCUUUCGUGCAUGAGCGUCAGUACUAGCCCAGGGGGCUGCCUUCGCCAUCGGUGUUCCUCCUGAUCUCUACGCAUUUCACUGCUACACCAGGAAUUCCACCCCCCUCUGCCGUACUCUAGCUUGCCAGUCACAAUCGCAGUUCCCAGGUUAAGCCCGGGGAUUUCACGACUGUCUUAACAAACCGCCUGCGCACGCUUUACGCCCAGUAAUUCCGAUUAACGCUUGCACCCUACGUAUUACCGCGGCGGCUGGCACCA
This 295-nucleotide unclassified non-coding RNA is filed under the name uncultured fungus. RNAcentral describes it as "sequence contains ITS1". The record is from RNAcentral. Lineage: Eukaryota; Fungi.